GUAUAUAUUUGGCAAAAUUAUUCGAGAGCCAUCAUAUCGCUCUAUUCAGGUUUGAAAAGGAAGAGAAGUUAGGAAUCUCGUUUUCUGUAAGGGCGAUAUCCGGCUGUUUGAAACUAAUAGGGAAAUGGCUUCUCUCAAGAAUGUUGUGGUUUUCCUGUGUUUUGGCUUAAUCUUGAACUUUGUGCUGGAACAAUCGACAGCUCAGCAUUUACGUUGGGGAAAACGUAAUGAGCUGACUGGAGAAGAUGGUAUAGACCGGAUGGACGAGAUGAUAAAAGAACGAAGAGCAGAGGAACUGAAUGAUUUGGAAGCAAGUUUCCUACGAAUGUGGAACAGGGCAUAUCUGGCAGGAAAAUAUUCUGCUGAAAGACGAAAAAAUGUUCGAUGAAUAUUACAGAGAAACUUUUGGGCAUAAACUAAAGUACUUUAGAAAAUCUAGUUUUAGAUGUGUUAGAUGUAAUUAAUUUCAUAGUGCUAAACGAUCAAUUAGUGUUAAUUAAGAUUCCAAAGGCUCAUUAAAAACUUGUUAGCAUUUAGGAAAUAGCCUAAUUCUAUAACUCUCAAGUUUAUUGUUAAAGUUGUCAGACACAAUAAA
Long non-coding RNA from Dendronephthya gigantea, 595 nucleotides. RefSeq lists it as uncharacterized. The record is from RefSeq and is a predicted model, not a curated record. NCBI's taxonomy places the organism in Eukaryota, Metazoa, Cnidaria, Anthozoa, Malacalcyonacea, Nephtheidae. The transcript is spliced from 3 exons.